Molecule: long non-coding RNA, 312 nt
Organism: Miniopterus natalensis
Lineage: Eukaryota; Metazoa; Chordata; Mammalia; Chiroptera; Miniopteridae
Source: RefSeq, a predicted model, not a curated record
CAUGCCAUAUUCUUCUAACUGUUUCUCUUCAUGUGAUUUGGCUGUGUCCAAAGCUACAGAUCCUAUUGCAGCCUAUAAAAAUUUAAAGGACUCCUGAGUUUUAGCUGGUCUCAUUGCUGUCCAAGUAGACACUUUCCCCCCAGCUUUCUUUGCAACAAGAUGAAGCUAUGUAUCUAAGGCCACCAAGAGAGAUAAGAACAUUUCAAGAUUCAGAAGAUCUAAAUUAUAUCAGGGAAAAAAGUCCCAUGACUAUAAAGGUCAGCAGAAGCAGCACUGGAUUUGAAAAUAGAUGAAAAAAAUGCACAAAGAGGC